Molecule: long non-coding RNA, 1170 nt
Organism: Acipenser ruthenus (sterlet)
Lineage: Eukaryota; Metazoa; Chordata; Actinopteri; Acipenseriformes; Acipenseridae
Exons: 3
Source: RefSeq, a predicted model, not a curated record
CUCUUCACUGCCAAUCAGCUGCCGCCUCCGAAGGACCUGAGACAGGAGAUCGGGGCAAAGAAAAGGGGCCGUCAGGAAUUGACACACAACCCCGUGUUUCUCUCCUCUCUCUCGUCAUGCUCCCUGGACCUCGUCCCGAUUCCGUCUGCCACCACUGGACCCGACCUGGAAGCUGGACUCCAGACCUAAAGGCAAGAGGUUCAAGAAAAACGAUUUGCCGCCUAUCAAAGAUCCAUGGCGGGCCCAAACAUCCUGGACUAACACUGGGACCCCGAGCAGUUACACCCAUCCCUUGCUCCACAAAUGAAGCAAAACAAACAAAAAAAAGAAACAAGUGUCCAAAAAAUAAAUCACUAUUUGUUGUAGCUCAAAAAAAAAACAAAAAAAAAACACAUGUUUGUAAAAUCCUUGAAUGGAAGAAUUAUUGUCACCCAAUGCACAGAGAGAGAAAAAACACAACAAAAACAAGUAAAAAAAAUACAACCAACCACCCUAUAUUGUCCCGACACAACAAAAGAAACAAGAAACAAAACUCCAAAACCAUUCCUAAAUGUUGUCCCAGUGCAAGUCCGUCCCCACAACGAAGUUCUUGUUGCCGAAUAGUCGUUUCCCCAAAAAUCUUCCUCAGUAUAUUUUCCCCCAAGGCUGUGCGCUCUGCCUACACACUUCUGAUGGUUGUUACUAUCUUCCAUGUUCCUCUUCUGCUCUAAAAUCCAGCCCCUUAUAUAGUCCUGCCUGGACCGCCAUUGGCUGUGGUGCUAACCAGUUGGGACUUCCUGUUGCUGGGGAGAAAAUACUCCACCCACAGUCAGCCACAACCACAUAAAACCAACUGAGGGUUGAGAUAAGCAGAUUCCAGUAAAAAAAAUAAAAAAAACAGUACGCAAAAACCCAUUUAAAAUUCGUCACUUGUGACAAAUGUUUAUCACAUUCCUAUUUACUUCCCAUCUCACCAUAAUUAUGUGCAAUUUAAAAUGUUUACAAUAUCAAAAACAUUAACCUCCAGAUAAAAUAAUGAACAAUGACUCAGCCAACAUAAAAAUGGUCCAAAGGGACUCUGUAUAACUUUCUGUCGCUCUGCGCAUUCUGUAGACUCUUGUAUUUUCUUCCGUCGUUUUGCUUUUGCAAGUAAAAAUGUAGCAAUGUUUUACUGGAGAAACAAUACACAGG